AAAUUCCUAACGUUUACACCGAAUUGGUUUUUGCACCUUUUUUUAUUUUUCUACUUUUAAAUACCUAACCUUUCGUUUUUGUCUCGAAUUUAUCCGGUGAUCGGUUUUUUCUCAUGCCGGCGCCGGAAUUGACACUGUGGCAGCCGGAAUAGAUGAGGUGGCAGCCGGAAUUGACACCUAAACAUAACUUUUACAUGUGGUAAAAAAAUUGAAAAAAAAAAGAAGAAAAAAAUUUCCAACUCAUCAUCUUCCCAACCUAAUUCACC
Molecule: long non-coding RNA, 266 nt
Filed under: Salvia miltiorrhiza (redroot sage)
Lineage: Eukaryota; Viridiplantae; Streptophyta; Magnoliopsida; Lamiales; Lamiaceae
Description: long non-coding RNA (SMIL_LNC005338)
Source: RNAcentral